ACUCCUACGGGAGGCAGCAGUGGGGAAUAUUGCACAAUGGGGGAAACCCUGAUGCAGCCAUGCCGCGUGUGUGAAGAAGGCCUUCGGGUUGUAAAGCACUUUCAGUAGGGAGGAAGGUAGUGUAGUUAACACCUGCACUAUUUGACGUUACCUACAGAAGAAGCACCGGCUAACUCCGUGCCAGCAGCCGCGGUAAUACGGAGGGUGCGAGCGUUAAUCGGAAUUACUGGGCGUAAAGCGCAUGCAGGCGGCCUGUUAAGUCAGAUGUGAAAGCCCGGGGCUUAACCUCGGAAUUGCAUUUGAAACUGGCAGGCUAGAGUCUUGUAGAGGGGUUAGAAUUUCAGGUGUAGCGGUGAAAUGCGUAGAGAUCUGAAGGAAUACCAGUGGCGAAGCGGCCCCUGGACAAAGACUGACGCUCAGAUGCGAAAGCGUGGGAGCAAACAGGAUUAGAUACCCCUGGUAGCGACUGA
Molecule: ribosomal RNA, 470 nt
Filed under: uncultured bacterium
Lineage: Bacteria
Description: bacterial SSU rRNA
Rfam family: Bacterial small subunit ribosomal RNA
Source: RNAcentral